UGAGGAAUAUUGGGUCAAUGGGCGGAAGCCUGAACCAGCCAAGUAGCGUGAGGGAUGACUGCCCUAUGGGUUGUAAACCUCUUUUAUAAGGGAAUAAAAUACGGGACGUGUCCUGUUUUGCAUGUACCUUAUGAAUAAGGACCGGCUAAUUCCGUGCCAGCAGCCGCGGUAAUACGGAAGGUCCGGGCGUUAUCCGGAUUUAUUGGGUUUAAAGGGAGCGCAGGCGGUCUUAUAAGCGUGACGUGAAAUGCAGCGGCUCAACCGUAUGAUGUGCGUCGCGAACUGUGAGACUUGAGUGUAUUCGAUGUCAGCGGAAUUUGUGGUGUAGCGGUGAAAC
This 337-nucleotide ribosomal RNA is filed under the name uncultured Prevotella sp. RNAcentral's name for it is "bacterial SSU rRNA". It matches the Rfam family "Bacterial small subunit ribosomal RNA", at positions 355 to 687 of the family's 1533-position model. The record is from RNAcentral. Lineage: Bacteria; Pseudomonadati; Bacteroidota; Bacteroidia; Bacteroidales; Prevotellaceae.